This 249-nucleotide ribosomal RNA is filed under the name uncultured bacterium. RNAcentral's name for it is "partial 16S ribosomal RNA". It matches the Rfam family "Bacterial small subunit ribosomal RNA", at positions 15 to 207 of the family's 1533-position model. The record is from RNAcentral.
AAUCAUGGCUCAGGAUAAACGCUGGCGGCGCACAUAAGACAUGCAAGUCGAACGGGAAGUCGUUGUAAUGAAAUAGAAACGGACAGAGAACUUGUUCGAAGAAAGUGGAAGUAGACUUACAACAAUGGCUUUAGUGGCGGACUGGUGAGUAACGCGUAAGGAACCUGCCUUCUAGAGGGGAAUAACAAUGAGAAAUCAUUGCUAAUACCGCAUAUGCCGAGAGAAAUCACAUGGUACAAUCGGGAAAAG